UGAGCAACCUGCCCCGGACUCUGGGAUAACAGCUGGAAACAGCUGCUAAUACCGGAUACGAGCUGCGAAGGCAUCUUCAGCAGCUGGAAAGAACUUCGGUCUGGGAUGGGCUCGCGGCCUAUCAGCUAGUUGGUGAGGUAAUGGCUCACCAAGGCGUCGACGGGUAGCCGGCCUGGAGAGGGUCGACCGGCCACACGUGGGACUGACGACACCGGCCCAGACUCCGUAACGGGG
RNAcentral lists this ribosomal RNA (234 nucleotides) under uncultured bacterium. Its description in RNAcentral is "partial 16S ribosomal RNA". It matches the Rfam family "Bacterial small subunit ribosomal RNA", at positions 118 to 346 of the family's 1533-position model. The record is from RNAcentral.